GACGAACCGUGCGAACGUUGUUCGGAAUCACUGGGCUUAAAGGGCGCGUAGGCGGGUGCUCAAGUCCGUGGUGAAAUCCUCCGGCUCAACCGCAGAACUGCUUGGUAUACUGGGUCGCUUGAGCCAUCCAGGGGCAACUGGAACAAGCGGUGGAGCGGUGAAAUGCGUAGAUAUCGCUUGGAACGCCAAAGGUGAAAACAGGUUGCUGGGGAUGCGCUGACACUGAGACGCGAAAGCCAGGGGAGCGAACGGG
This 253-nucleotide ribosomal RNA is filed under the name uncultured bacterium. RNAcentral's name for it is "partial 16S ribosomal RNA". It matches the Rfam family "Bacterial small subunit ribosomal RNA", at positions 524 to 776 of the family's 1533-position model. The record is from RNAcentral.